GUCGAGAAUUUUUCACAAUGGGGGAAACCCUGAUGGAGCGACGCCGCGUGGGGGAUGAAUGGCUUCGGCCCGUAAACCCCUGUCAUUUGCGAGCAAAGCGCAUUAUUUAAAAGAUGAUGUGUUGAUAGUAGCGGAAGAGGAAGGGACGGCUAACUCUGUGCCAGCAGCCGCGGUAAUACAGAGGUCCCGAGCGUUGUUCGGAUUCACUGGGCGUAAAGGGUGCGUAGGUGGUGAGGUGUGUCGGAUGUGAAAUCUCGGAGCUCAACUCCGAAACUGCAUUGGAAACUACCUUGCUGGAGGGUUGGAGGGGGGACUGGAAUACUUGGUGUAGCAGUGAAAUGCGUAGAUAUCAAGUGGAACACCAGUGGCGAAGGCGAGUCCCUGGACAACUCCUGACACUGAGGCACGAAAGCUAGGGGAGCAAACAGGAUUAGAAACCCUAGUAGUCC
RNAcentral lists this ribosomal RNA (449 nucleotides) under uncultured bacterium. RNAcentral's name for it is "bacterial SSU rRNA". It matches the Rfam family "Bacterial small subunit ribosomal RNA", at positions 354 to 796 of the family's 1533-position model. The record is from RNAcentral.